RNAcentral lists this ribosomal RNA (498 nucleotides) under uncultured bacterium. Its description in RNAcentral is "partial 16S ribosomal RNA". It matches the Rfam family "Bacterial small subunit ribosomal RNA", at positions 30 to 523 of the family's 1533-position model. The record is from RNAcentral.
AUUGAACGCUGGCUGCAUGCUUUACACAUGCAAGUCGAACGGUAACAGGCCGCAAGGUGCUGACGAGUGGCGAACGGGUGAGUAAUGCAUCGGAACGUGCCCAGUCGUGGGGGAUAACGCAGCGAAAGCUGUGCUAAUACCGCAUACGAUCUAGGGAUGAAAGCGGGGGACCGUAAGGCCUCGCGCGAUUGGAGCGGCCGAUGUCAGAUUAGGUAGUUGGUGGGGUAAAGGCCUACCAAGCCGACGAUCUGUAGCUGGUCUGAGAGGACGACCAGCCACACUGGGACUGAGACACGGCCCAGACUCCUACGGGAGGCAGCAGUGGGGAAUUUUCGACAAUGGGCGCAAGCCUGAUCCAGCAAUGCCGCGUGCAGGAAGAAGGCCUUCGGGUUGUAAACUGCUUUUGUACGGAACGAAACGGUCUGGGUUAAUACCCUGGGCUAAUGACGGUACCGUAAGAAUAAGCACCGGCUAACUACGUGCCAGCCGCCGCGGUAA